Molecule: ribosomal RNA, 320 nt
Filed under: uncultured eukaryote
Lineage: Eukaryota
Description: partial 18S ribosomal RNA
Rfam family: Eukaryotic small subunit ribosomal RNA
Source: RNAcentral
CCCCUAGAUGUUCUGGGCCGCACGCGCGCUACACUGAACAGUUCAACAAGUCUUAACCUUGGCCGAUAGGUCUGGGUAAUCUUUGAACGCUGUUCGUGAUUGGGAUAGACCUUUGCAAUUAUGGGUCUUCAACGAGGAAUUCCUAGUAAACGCAAGUCAUCAGCUUGCAUUGAUUACGUCCCUGCCCUUUGUACACACCGCCCGUCGCACCUACCGAUUGAAUGGUCCGGUGAAAUCUCGGGACGGCGGCUUGGUCGCUUGCGUCCGACUGCUGAAACUUGAUUAAACCCUCUCAUUUAGAGGAAGGUGAANUCGUAACA